This 356-nucleotide ribosomal RNA is filed under the name uncultured bacterium. Its description in RNAcentral is "partial 16S ribosomal RNA". It matches the Rfam family "Bacterial small subunit ribosomal RNA", at positions 338 to 686 of the family's 1533-position model. The record is from RNAcentral.
CCUACUGGCGGCAGCAGUGGGGAAUUUUGCGCAAUGCUCGUAAGAGUGACGCAGCGACGCCGCGUGAAUGACGAAGGCCUUCGGGUCGUAAAGUUCUUUCGACAGGGAAGAAAAUGCCUAUAAGUAACUGUGUAUGUAUUGACGGUACCUGUAUAAGCAGCCCCGGCUAACUCCGUGCCAGCAGCCGCGGUAAUACGGGGGGGGCGAGCGUUGUUCGGUGUGACUGGGCGUAAAGAGCACGUAGGCGGUUUUGUAGGUCAUUAAGAAAAGACUAGAGCGAAACUUUAGUAAGGCUAGUGAUACUAUAAUACUAGAGUAUCAGAGAGGAUUGCAGAAUUCCUGGUGUAGCGGUGAAA